CCUGGGUUCAAGUAACCCUCCCACCUCAGCUUUCUGAGUAACUGGGACUACAGUCUUCUAGUAAAAUUGAUGCUCCAAGAAGAUACACAACGUUGACCAUGUGGAUUCAGAUAUCUCCCGCUUGGAUCUCAGCCUGGAUCUUGUUGUUUGAGAAGCAUAGAUUAGCUACAGAAUGCCAUGUCAUACAUCCAAUAAAAUUCAACUCUGCAAGCAUGAGAGAGAAGAGGAAGGAAAAGAGAGAAUCUGAAGUGUGAGUGAUUCUGUUUACCAUUCCACAGAGUAAGUGGCUGCCUGGGAGUGUGUGUGAGAUGGGAGUGGGAGAGAAUCUUCUGUUCUUCCCUUGGACCUCAGUUCCACGGAGCUUUUCAGCGUGUAAAACAUCUUACCAUGGACAUUCUGGGUUUCGGUUUAAAAAGAUGUAUUUUUGGUUUGACACAGUCUCUCACUGAAACCAGCUGCUUCAGCUGACAGUCAAACUAAGAGUCAAGGAUUAACUGUACAGUUAGGGACACAGCAGCCAUGGCAAAACUUACUGAGAAAUGGCCAUCUCCCAUGUAGCAUUCUGCUAAGGGAUUUCAAGGGCAUUUUGACUUUUGACUUUUUUACCUGGCACGCUGACUUGGCGAGCUAACCCCUGUGCAAGAUGCCACUCAAGAAGCCACUCCGUUGUUUAUAAUUAAGACAGCAGGUGAGGUGGCCCUGUACUUUGAGAUUUAAACAAUAGUGACUUAAGCUCUUUCUCCUGUUUUCUGUAGGAAGUCCAGCAUGCUUACUGAGACUCCCUCCAUCCCUGGGGCUGACAGUCCCGUGGGUUUGUUCUGGCUCUAGGUGUCCACCCCCGAGGAGCUCUGAAUUCACAGUGUCGCAUGAAGGGACAGCACCCUGCUCUCCCUGUGCAAGGCACUGAGCUUCAUGUCAAACUUGGCCUCUGUGUUUUGUUCCCACCAGGCCCUUCUCCCAAGAAAUGUACACGUAGCAAACUUUACUCAAAGUGUGAGGACUCAGGAGGGAUUUUAAAAAAUCAUAAAAAUGCCGAGUUUAAAAUUAGAUCGUAUUAGUGUUGUUUUCCUUAGAAGGAAGAAAAAAAGUUUAAAAAUUAAAAAAAGAGAUAAAAUUAGAUCUUAUAUAUCUCUCUCCUGGAAAGUUCCUUAACAGCCUUGCUGUAGGGGAAAUGUCUUUCUCACCGAACACUUUUCUUGGAAGAUUCCGGCCUUCCACCUUGUUGUUUGCCUUCUCUGUCUGUAAAACAUUCAAAUUCUCUCAUUUAUCCUAGAAGGCAGUUUAGCUCUACAGCCCCUACACAGUCCUAGACCUCCUUUCUGUAUCUACUAUUAAGUACCAUUCACACCAAGGGUCACCUACUCUGAGUUUCAAUCAUUAUUAAUAAAGAAGGGAAAGUGGAGGCUUUGAAAUUCCCAUAUUUUCUUCAUGUCUCUCCACCAGUCUUUGUAAGUGAAAUAGAGGCUGAUAGAGAUUUACUUUCUCAUUGAUAUUAACUAUGCUUCUCCUCUUAGAAGACAGAGGCAUCUGUAGUCAGUGUCAAAUAUUUCCCACCCUACCAUAUAUAUAUAUGAAAUACAUGGAUUAUGUUCUAUGGACAAUUGGGUAUCUUGUUUGUUUUAGUUACUAUUGCUGUAUAACAAAUCAUUCCAAACUUACAGGUUAAUCAACAACAAUUUAUUAUGCCCACAGAUUCUGCAGAUCAGGGAUUUGAGAGGAUCAUGGUGGAAUCACUUGUUUCUGUUCCAUGAUGUCUGGGGCCUCAAAUGGGGAGAUACAGAGGUUGGGGAUGGCUUCGUGGGUGAGGGCUAGAAUUAUUAAGAGGGUUAUCACUUACAUGCCUGGCAGUUGAUGUAAGUCAUCAGCUGAGAUGUCAGCUGGGGACAUCCACUGAAAUACCUACUCAUGGCCUGUCCAUGUGGUGCCUUAGGCCUCGUCACAGCAUGGUGGCUGGGUCCCAAGAGUGAGCAUCUCAAGAGAGCAAGGUGAAAGUGCAUGACAUUUUAAUGAGUCAGCCUUGAAAGUCACAUAAUGUUAGUUCUGCACUAUUCUUGGUCAAGGCAGACACUGAGAUCUGCCCAGCUUCAAGGGGACGUGGCAAAGACCCCAUCAUUUGAUAGGAGGAUCGUCGAGGUCACAUUGUAGUGAAAGCCUGUGAGACGAGUGGUGAUGUUUCUGCCAUGUUGGAAAAUGCAAUCUGCUACACUGCUCUUUUCAUUUAACAUAUCAUACCAUUAAAAUAAUCCAUCAACUCUGUGAAUACAUCCAUAGAACUUAUUCAUUUACUAGUUCCUUAGUAUAGGACUUUUCUCAUCACUUCCCCAUAAGAGAGAAGAAGGAGGUAUGGUUAUUUUCCUUCCCUAAAACCAAGAGAGAGAGGCCCAAAGAGAAUUAUUUGACAAGUGGGAUUCCUAUUCCUGCAGUGUCGACUCCAUUAAUUUGGGGUCUGUUAUCUUUCCUUUGAUGGUUUUUGAGUCUUGGACCAGCAGGAGCACCUGAGGCUGCUUAGGACAUGGAUAUAGGGGUCUGUGGCUUCUCAGGUGUGUCAAGGACACAUACAUUUCUCCUGGGUCGAGGGAACACCUUAGGAAGUGGGACUUGAGCUGUUCUGCCAUUAUUCCCCAAGUGGGUUUCCCACUGGAUGAGAUACCCCUGGUAGAAGGAAAGUGUGGGGAAGACUGUGGUUGGGGAGGAAAAGGAAAGGAAGCAGCUGGAGCCCUAGCCAGGCCACCCAUGUAGGUGAAUAUGCAGGGGAUGGCCCUACGACAUUCUCCAAAGAACCCAAUGGAUGAGCCCCAUGAAGGAGCCACACAGCAGGAGUCAAAGCUCAGUCUGCAUUAUCCAGGA
This is a long non-coding RNA of Homo sapiens (human), 2847 nucleotides long. Lineage: Eukaryota; Metazoa; Chordata; Mammalia; Primates; Hominidae. The record is from Ensembl.